GUGAGGAAUAUUGGUCAAUGGGCGAGAGCCUGAACCAGCCAAGUCGCGUGAAGGAUGAAGGUUUUAUGAAUUGUAAACUUCUUUUGCAGGGGAAUAAAGUACGGUACGUGUACCGUUUUGUAUGUACUCUGCGAAUAAGGAUCGGCUAACUCCGUGCCAGCAGCCGCGGUAAUACGGAGGAUCCAAGCGUUAUCCGGAUUUAUUGGGUUUAAAGGGUGCGCAGGCGGGUUGAUAAGUCAGCGGUGAAAGUUUGUAGCUUAACUGUAAAAUUGCCGUUGAAACUGUCGAUCUUGAGUGCAAAUGAGGUAAGCGGAAUGUGUUGUGUAGCGGUGAAAUGCUUAGAUAUAACACAGAACACCGAUUGCGAAGGCAGCUUACUGGGAUGCAACUGACGCUCAUGCACGAAAGCGUGGGGAUCAAACAGGAUUAGAUACCCCUGUAGUCC
RNAcentral lists this ribosomal RNA (445 nucleotides) under uncultured bacterium. RNAcentral's name for it is "partial 16S ribosomal RNA". It matches the Rfam family "Bacterial small subunit ribosomal RNA", at positions 354 to 796 of the family's 1533-position model. The record is from RNAcentral.